RNA transcript from Zea mays, 337 nucleotides. It is a transcript of the gene named dnaJ pseudogene, with no coding region annotated. The transcript has 3 exons. NCBI's taxonomy places the organism in Eukaryota, Viridiplantae, Streptophyta, Magnoliopsida, Poales, Poaceae. The record is from RefSeq and is marked validated.
UGUUCUAAAUGUGUCACGUAUUGCUUUCAGGUUCUCUUUCCAGAUCACAAUUUAAUUAUUUAAUUUUUUGUUUAUUUUUUUAUCAUUUAAAGAUUCUAGGAGUUGGGAAGACCACUUCUCAACAAGAAAUAAAGAAGGCGUAUCACAAAUUGGCUCUGCGCCUCCACCCAGAUAAGAAUCCUGGGGAUGAGGCAUUGGUGGGAGAAGCAGCAAACAAUCUUCAGGAGUACUUCAGAACAAUGUACAAGAAAGUCAUGGAGGCUGACAUUGAAGAAUUUGAAGCUAAAUAUAGAGGGUCAGAUUAUGAGAAAACGGACUUGAAGGACCUCUACACAAA